UAAUACGUGACCCCCGAGCGUUAUCCGGAUUUAUUGGGCGUAAAGCGUCUGUAGGCGGUUUGGAAAGUUUCUGGUUAAAUACCCAGGGCUUAACCUUGGGGCUGCCAGAGAUACUUCCAGACUAGAGGGCGUUAGAGGCUGAUGGAACGGUCGGUGUAGAGGUGAAAUUCGUUGAUAUCGACCGGAACACCGAAAGCGAAGGCAUUCAGCUGGGGCGACCCUGACGUUGAGAGACGAAAGCGUGGGGAGCAAAAAGGAUUAGAUACCCUUGUAGUCCACGCUGUAAACGAUGGACACUGGCUAUUUGAAGUGUCGACCCUUCAAGUGGCGAAGCUAACGCGUUAAGUGUCCCGCCUGGGAAGUACGGCGGCAACGCUA
RNAcentral lists this ribosomal RNA (378 nucleotides) under uncultured bacterium. RNAcentral's name for it is "bacterial SSU rRNA". It matches the Rfam family "Bacterial small subunit ribosomal RNA", at positions 521 to 896 of the family's 1533-position model. The record is from RNAcentral.